CAGUAGCCGCGGUAAUACGAAGGGGGCUAGCGUUGUUCGGAUUUACUGGGCGUAAAGCGCACGUAGGCGGACUUUUAAGUCAGGGGUGAAAUCCCGGUGCUCAACCCCGGAACUGCCUUUGAUACUGGAAGUCUUGAGUAUGGUAGAGGUGAGUGGAAUUCCGAGUGUAGAGGUGAAAUUCGUAGAUAUUCGGAGGAACACCAGUGGCGAAGGCGGCUCACUGGACCAUUACUGACGCUGAGGUGCGAAAGCGUGGGGAGCAAACAGGAUUAGAUACCCCAGUAGUCCCUGUCUCUUAUAC
This 301-nucleotide ribosomal RNA is filed under the name uncultured bacterium. RNAcentral's name for it is "partial 16S ribosomal RNA". It matches the Rfam family "Bacterial small subunit ribosomal RNA", at positions 509 to 807 of the family's 1533-position model. The record is from RNAcentral.